UUUUCGGAGAGUUUGAUCCUGGCUCAGGACGAACGCUGGCGGCGUGCCUAAUACAUGCAAGUCGAGCGGACAGAAGGGAGCUUGCUCCCGGAUGUUAGCGGCGGACGGGUGAGUAACACGUGGGUAACCUGCCUGUAAGACUGGGAUAACUCCGGGAAACCGGAGCUAAUACCGGAUAGUUCCUUGAACCGCAUGGUUCAAGGAUGAAAGACGGUUUCGGCUGUCACUUACAGAUGGACCCGCGGCGCAUUAGCUAGUUGGUGGGGUAAUGGCUCACCAAGGCGACGAUGCGUAGCCGACCUGAGAGGGUGAUCGGCCACACUGGGACUGAGACACGGCCCAGACUCCUACGGGAGGCAGC
This 361-nucleotide ribosomal RNA is filed under the name Bacillus safensis. RNAcentral describes it as "bacterial SSU rRNA". It matches the Rfam family "Bacterial small subunit ribosomal RNA", at positions 1 to 352 of the family's 1533-position model. The record is from RNAcentral. Lineage: Bacteria; Bacillati; Bacillota; Bacilli; Caryophanales; Bacillaceae.